This 301-nucleotide ribosomal RNA is filed under the name uncultured bacterium. RNAcentral describes it as "partial 16S ribosomal RNA". It matches the Rfam family "Bacterial small subunit ribosomal RNA", at positions 509 to 809 of the family's 1533-position model. The record is from RNAcentral.
CAGUAGCCGCGGUAAUACGUAGGGUGCGAGCGUUAAUCGGAAUUACUGGGCGUAAAGCGUGCGCAGGCGGUUAUAUAAGACAGAUGUGAAAUCCCCGGGCUCAACCUGGGACCUGCAUUCGUGACUGUAUAGCUAGAGUACGGUAGAGGGGGAUGGAAUUCCGCGUGUAGCAGUGAAAUGCGUAGAUAUGCGGAGGAACACCGAUGGCGAAGGCAAUCCCUGGACCUGUACUGACGCUCAUGCACGAAGCGUGGGGAGCAAACAGGAUUAGAUACCCCCGUAGUCCCUGUCUCUUAUACAA